AGAUCACAAAACAAUCUAUCAAUAGCAGUGACGUAUAUGUGUAAUGUGAUCUUAUACUUAU
Molecule: non-coding RNA, 61 nt
Filed under: Trypanosoma brucei brucei
Lineage: Eukaryota; Euglenozoa; Kinetoplastea; Trypanosomatida; Trypanosomatidae
Source: RNAcentral